Molecule: ribosomal RNA, 474 nt
Filed under: Stenotrophomonas maltophilia
Lineage: Bacteria; Pseudomonadati; Pseudomonadota; Gammaproteobacteria; Lysobacterales; Lysobacteraceae
Description: bacterial SSU rRNA
Rfam family: Bacterial small subunit ribosomal RNA
Source: RNAcentral
AGUGAACGCUGGCGGUAGGCCUAACACAUGCAAGUCGAACGGCAGCACAGAGGAGCUUGCUCCUUGGGUGGCGAGUGGCGGACGGGUGAGGAAUACAUCGGAAUCUACUCUGUCGUGGGGGAUAACGUAGGGAAACUUACGCUAAUACCGCAUACGACCUACGGGUGAAAGCAGGGGAUCUUCGGACCUUGCGCGAUUGAAUGAGCCGAUGUCGGAUUAGCUAGUUGGCGGGGUAAAGGCCCACCAAGGCGACGAUCCGUAGCUGGUCUGAGAGGAUGAUCAGCCACACUGGAACUGAGACACGGUCCAGACUCCUACGGGAGGCAGCAGUGGGGAAUAUUGGACAAUGGGCGCAAGCCUGAUCCAGCCAUACCGCGUGGGUGAAGAAGGCCUUCGGGUUGUAAAGCCCUUUUGUUGGGAAAGAAAUCCAGCUGGCUAAUACCCGGUUGGGAUGACGGUACCCAAAGAAUAAGC